RNAcentral lists this ribosomal RNA (932 nucleotides) under uncultured marine benthic group E euryarchaeote. RNAcentral's name for it is "bacterial SSU rRNA". It matches the Rfam family "Archaeal small subunit ribosomal RNA", at positions 475 to 1409 of the family's 1478-position model. The record is from RNAcentral. Lineage: Archaea; Methanobacteriati; Candidatus Hydrothermarchaeota.
ACCGGCAGCUCGAGUGGUGCCGCUUUUAUUGGGCCUAAAGCGUUCGUAGCCGGUUCAGUAAGUCUUUGGGCAAAUCUUCUCGCUUAACGAAAAGAAUUCCGAAGAUACUGCUGGACUUGGGGCCGAGAGAGGUUAGAGGUACUCCUGGGGUAGGGGUGAAAUCCUAUAAUCCUGGGGGGACCGCCAGUGGCGAAGGCGUCUAACCAGAGCGGACCCGACGGUGAGGGACGAAAGCCAGGGGCGCGAACGGGAUUAGAUGCCCCGGUAGUCCUGGCUGUAAACGCUGCAUGCUAGGUGUUGCAUGCUCUACGGGGGCAUGCAGUGCCGAAGAGAAGUUGAUAAGCGUGCCGCCUGGGAAGUAUUAUCGCAAGGUAGAAACUUAAAGGAAUUGGCGGGGGAGCACCACAAGGGGUGGAGUCUGCGGUUCAAUUGGAUUCAACGCCGGAAAUCUCACCGGAGGCGACGGCAGGAUGAUGGCCAGGUUGAAGAUCUUGCUUGACAAGCCGAGAGGAGGUGCAUGGCCGUCGUCAGCUCGUACCGUGAGGCGUCCUGUUAAGUCAGGCAACGAGCGAGACCCGUGCCCUUAUUUGUCAGCAGAUGCCAUUGGCAUGCUGGACACAGUAAGGGGACCGCUACUGAUAAAGUAGAGGAAGGAGCGGGCGACGGUAGGUCAGUAUGCCCCGAAUCUUCCGGGCUACACGCGGACUACAAUGGCCAGUACAAGGGGCUUCGACUUCGAGAGGAGAAGGAAAUCCCCAAAACUGGCCCUAGUUCAGAUCGUGGGCUGCAACUUGCCCACGUGAAGCCGGAAUCCCUAGUAAUCGCGUGUCAUUAUCGCGCGGUGAAUAUGUCCCUGCUCCUUGCACACACCGCCCGUCAAACCACCCGAGUGAGGUCGAGGCGAGGCUAUGUCGUUUUGGGAUGGUCGAGUC